ACACACACACACACACACACACACACACACACACACACAUGACUGCAGCCACAUGUCUGCAGCCACAUGACUAUGUUUUAUGCACAAUGGGGCACUCCCUGCAUUUUCUAAUUCUUGGCAGGGGGAUGAACCACUAUGUGUUGGUGUAGCCAUGUGCUCAGACAUGCACUCUACAACCAUACAUCCAGACACGGUUCCUUUACCCCACCACUCACACACCAUCUAUAUUCUAUGUCCCUGGAUCACAGACGGUGUGCAGCUGUUGGUCUGGAACUCGCCGAUGGACGUCGAGCUGACUCAACGUGGCGGUGAGAGGACGGAGGAGCGCGUCGAGACUCUGCUGCUCGCUGCGGGACAAAGGUGCAGAAGAUCCUGAAAGGGAAACAUUUCAAAGCUGAAGCUCAACAACACUGUCAGUCCAAGGAGGUGGAGUAGCAGCCACCUCGUGAGACCAGGAAAGCUCAUCAAGACGGGGACCAGCAUUCUGAUGGAAUCGCAGACAGCCAUACCUGCUUGCAGUGGGAACUCAGAGGAAUGUGAUUCACUGUCAAACAUGCUUUUUUUGUAAAUGUUGUUUGAUUUGUAAGAGCUCCCAGACAAAUGCUAAUUUAGUUGUAUGUAUUUUUAAAAUUCAGUGACUUUUAUUUUUGACAUAUUUUGGCAUACUAUGACUUUUAUUUUUACAUAUUUUGGCAUACUAUGACUUUUAUUUUCACAUAAAUACAGGUCAUAGUAUAGUAUGCCAAAAUAUGUCAAAAAAUAAAAGUCAUAGUAUGCCAAAAUAUGUAAAGAUUAAAGGUCAUAGUAUAGUAUGUCAAAAUAAAGGUCAUAGUAUGCCAAAAUUAAAGGUCAAAAUAAAAGUCAAAGUAUAGUAUGCCAAAAUAUGUAACAAUUAAUGGUCAUAGUACAGUAUGUCAAAAUUAAAGUCAUAGUAUAGUAUGACAAAAUAUGUCAAAAAUAAAAGUCUUAGUAUAGCAGUGGUGUAUAAAGUACCCAAAAGUCAUACUUGAGUAAAAGUAAAGAUACUUGACUGGAAAAUUACUCAAGUAAAAGUCACCUAUGAGAAUACUACUUGAGUAAAAGUAUUAAAGUAUCUGAUUUUUUUUGUACUUAAGUAUCAAAAGUAAUUUUCUGAUAUUAAAUGUACUUAAGUAUUAAAAGUAAAAGUAAAUGCUGUUAAUAAAAAAAACAAGGUCAGAAUUUUGAGAAUUAUGAAGUUUAUUUGUUUGGGUGCUGUGGCCGCCAUGAACAAGGAGUAUGAGCUUGGAUGAACUUAGCAAUAUAUGAAUACUAUGAAAUUACUAAAAUAUAAAAACACGAUUAACACAGAAAAAAGCAGAACCAAAAGUAACAACCAGAAUCAUCACUUUAAAGUGCAAAAUGUAUUGUUCAUCUUCAAAAGAAGUUGAUUUUCAAAAUGGACAGAUUUCAGUGUCGCUCUUCUGGGGCUGAAGACGAGUCCUGCGAUGCUGAAGAGCCGUUCACAUGGUGCAGGUAGAGUGUGUCUAGCUUCACAGGCCCUGAUGGUGCAGGUAGAGUGUGUCUAGCUUCACAGGCCCAGGUGCA
Pseudoliparis swirei is the source of this 1566-nucleotide long non-coding RNA. RefSeq lists it as uncharacterized. The transcript has 4 exons. The record is from RefSeq and is a predicted model, not a curated record. NCBI's taxonomy places the organism in Eukaryota, Metazoa, Chordata, Actinopteri, Perciformes, Liparidae.